GGGCGGGGCCGGGCGCCGAGGGCAUCCCCGCGCGGCCGCGCGCACCCCGGUCCGUGCGCGGCCCCGCGCGGCCCCGCGCACCGCUGCGGGAAGCGGAGGCGGUGGCGGUGGCGACCCCCCGGUGCUGGGCUCUCCCCGGAGCAGCCCGCAUCGCCCCCAGAAAACUUGAGCAAGAGGUGAUGUGUCUGACGACCACGUAGUUGGCUUCCCCUAGCACACACGAGAGUGACAGUCAUCUAAGUUAUAGUUUAAUCCGAUGAACAGGAAAUCCUGGCAAACAGGGGAGCCUAUUCUGCAUGCCAUCAUUAGCAGGUACCUGAGAAAGUCGAGAAGCUCCCAGGCACGUCUCAGAAUUGUAUUCAGGGAAGAAGAAGGUGUCCUGUCAUGAGAAAAUGGAAGAAAUAUGCAGUGAGAGAAGAAAUGAUGUUCUAAAACUGAGUCCUAUUCUUUUUUUUUUUUAAUGUGCAUCGAAAGAGAAUAUUAAGUAGUGUCUACAAUUUAGAAGAUUCAUCAAGAACCCUGAUAAGUACAAAUUAAGAACCUGACUCUGAUCCAUCCUUCAUAUUCCUUGUUUUUAAUUUAGACUUCGACUGAGCCAGAGGUACAGGAGCGUCUGGGAAGAAUCUGAAUAAAAAAGCAAGAGCAGAAAUGAGCGUACCACUUGAGACAGAGUUGAAGGGUUGACUGAAUUAGAAUUCUCUUAAUAAGCCACAGAAAAGUGACUAAUGUCAUCAAAACAGAAUCUCUGCAGUUCUUGCUGGAGCCAUCAGCUCUACCUGAGGUUGAAUAUUAUUACUAUUCAUCAUCAAUAUCCUCUGCCUCAGGAUGUCAUUUCUAAGGUGAUUUUCUCAUCAGUAUUUUUUUUCCAUUUUGGUUUCUUAUCUUGACUU
Cygnus olor (mute swan) is the source of this 890-nucleotide long non-coding RNA. RefSeq lists it as uncharacterized. The record is from RefSeq and is a predicted model, not a curated record. Lineage: Eukaryota; Metazoa; Chordata; Aves; Anseriformes; Anatidae. The transcript is spliced from 4 exons.